Non-coding RNA from Macaca mulatta (Rhesus monkey), 419 nucleotides. NCBI's taxonomy places the organism in Eukaryota, Metazoa, Chordata, Mammalia, Primates, Cercopithecidae. The record is from RefSeq and is a predicted model, not a curated record.
GGCUGUUCCGGGUGGGACGGAGGACACUGGCGGUCUCCGGGACAAAGACAGCGGUUGGGGAAGGGACAGCUGGCCGGGCCUCCAGGCGUCUCCAGACUGGGGAAGGGGAACCCUCUGGACCUCUCCCAGUAUUGAACUCCUGGCAGGCUGUUUGGCCACCAGGUGGUGGGAGGUAGGGAGAUUGCGUCCGUCUUCACAAUCUGGGCUUCUUCCUUAUUUAGUGUGCCAGGGUGGUCAGAGAUGGUCCUCGGCUUCCUCAGGCUGGACGUCCGGGCAGCAGGUGGCCCUGGGCACAGCCUCACUGUCCAGUUUGGAGAGUAGCCGGGCUGUCUCCUGGGUGAUCUCAAAAUGCUUGGGCAGCGGGGUGCGGCGCAGGGGGCUGCCCUCAGGGGAGGCAGCUGCAGGGCUAGGCCCCCGCC